AGGCCUUAUAUAUAUGCACUUAUUAUAUAUCUACAUACUGUUCAUUAAACCAUUUGCUGUAAGUUUGUUAUUCCCUCAUCCUAAAAUAAGUGAGAUGAUUUCUAUAAAAAUCUAAUUUUGGGACAGAGAAAGUACAUGAAAAAAAUACGAUAGGUUGGUUGAACAAUGACGGGUUCAGUAAUUGCUGGCACAUUUGUACCCGCAAGUAGCAGUGAAUUGGCAUAUCUGUGCAAGUUAAUGCUACUAGUAAAUUAGAAAGAGUUGCGGACAUAUAUUGCACAAGGCUACCUAAUUGAAAAUACGCACGCACGAAAUGCAGAGGCCGAGGAAAUGUCCUCCUUUUAGAAAAGAAAAAAGAAAAAUGCACGCACGAAUUCUUUCUUUAUUACCCUGUGCUCGUCCAAGGACGGAAUGUACUUUACAUUCAUGAGCUUCGAAUGAAAAUGAAGAGUGCGCUGCCCCGUCCCUAAAUCUUC
Molecule: long non-coding RNA, 476 nt
Filed under: Brachypodium distachyon (stiff brome)
Lineage: Eukaryota; Viridiplantae; Streptophyta; Magnoliopsida; Poales; Poaceae
Description: long non-coding RNA (BDIS_LNC004895)
Source: RNAcentral